Odontomachus brunneus is the source of this 8848-nucleotide long non-coding RNA. RefSeq lists it as uncharacterized. NCBI's taxonomy places the organism in Eukaryota, Metazoa, Arthropoda, Insecta, Hymenoptera, Formicidae. The transcript has 2 exons. The record is from RefSeq and is a predicted model, not a curated record.
UCCAGUGACACAGAACAUCACAGUCAACACUGAGAAGAAGACGUCUCGGCUUCUUCGACCGAUCGACCGUACUGGUCACGGUCGAGGAAGACCCGAAGAGGAGGCUAGAGGACGAAGCCGAAGAGGAAGUGAGCCGCAGUUAUCUAAUCAGCGAUCGUCAUUAUUUUCUGUCGCAGAUCCGGUCGGAGCGCACGUCAACAGUCACGAUGGUCUCACUACUUGGACGACCCAGGGCAACGAGGCAGCAGCAAUCCAAGAACAAUGGAGGCAUCAAUCAGUCGAUGGGAUGGCACAGGAGGUUGAAAAUCAACGGGUGCAGCCGGAGUCCACCGUCAAGCGGAAGCCAAACUAUCCUACCUGAGGAAUCGAAACAAGGACUGAGAAACGGAUCGAAGAACGACAAAAGAAGUAUCUUCACGGCGAUCUCGUUCCUGGAUGAUCGUGAUGGAUCAUCGGCGACCAGGAGCGAUGAUCGCACGACCCUUCUACUUCAUUCUACACUCAAUUUAUCGAGUUACUUGUAGAAUUUCGCAUCUGUCAUGUUUUAUCGCACUUAUGAGAUUCGUUGAAUUUAUGGCAAUUAUCAUUGCGACAUUUGUUGGAUUUAUCAAAGUUAUCGCGUUCGUGUUUUACACAAGAAGAGAAAACAGGCUUUUAAAUGUUUACCAGACAAACUGAGAUCGUAGCGAUGAUUUUUAUUCUGUACAUUGGCGAGAGCAUUUUCGAGGCAUUAUCGAGGCACUUCUGGAGCAUAUAAGGCUGCGAGCUUCAACUACUUUUUGAGAAUCUUUCUGACCUCGACUUCAAGAUCGAAGCAGUACCAUUCUGACGGAACGAAUUAUUUCCUGUCUUCUGAGAAUUCAUUCGACGCUUCACGGACAGACGUCGAAUAUCAAUUAUCGAUCGCUGGAUUUUCUGUAACGUGAUAUUCACAGCAUUUGAAAAAAAAACAAGAAAUUUCAUGGCGGGUGAGAGCUGCAUCCGUUAUACUUACCAGACCGAAACAAACGAGAUUUCGCAGCAUCGAAACCGAACAUUCUCAACGCAACGUCGAAAUCGUCAAGAGCGGUAACUCCUGGAACACACUCCUGAAAUAACUCUGGAAACGCUACUUCUUUACCACGUUACUCUAAUAAUUGACCAAAGACUUCUAUACAAUAACGCUAUAGGAAAACAGGAAUUUCUCGAGUUUGUUGAAGAAGAUCAUCGGAAUACCACGAAAUCAUCAUCGUAAUACCACGUAACGCGUGUAUGACGCGACCUCCCUCAAGAUUACGCAGUCAUUUCGCAGAGAGAAAGAAAGAGAGAGAGAAAAUCAUUAGCACGUGAAUUAUAGCAUUGGCACAUAUUUCGUACACGUUCCGCAGUGCGAACAAUUAGAGUCUGAAUCCUACCUCGCUCGAAAUUGGAUCGAAAAGGACGAAACGUCUCCCCUCGGAAAGAUCACGGCAAGGGAUUGAAACGGGUCCUCUGAUCUCUUGAGCUCGAUCACUCCCUCUCCUCCCUCUCCUUUUGAGUCUGUACCGUCACAAAUGCAACUGCCUUCGCAGAUGGAAUAAUUUUGCAAGAUACUCUCGAACGACCGCGAAAGCACGCGGUUUUCAGCACUUUAUUACUGAUUUACAGAAAGCUCUAUCAUCGUUUCCCGAGAGGAAUCAUCUUUCGUUAUACUUCCCGGUCACAUUUGAUGCGCUGCGAUGUCACAACGACCAAAGAAGCAUACACGGCUCCAAAUCUGUUUACGAGGACUCCCUCGUAAUGACUUGACGAAAGCACGGUAAUUUCACGUUGAAACAGCAUUUCCUCUGGAGCAUCCUGAUUAUUUUGCGAUCCAAACACGACGAUUGUUCGACACGCUCGUCAACGGCAUCAAGUAAGGCAUACAAUUAUGGCAUCAGAGCUAUUAAAAACGCAAAGACGAAAAGCACAAACAGUAUUAUGCAGGCAAAACAGUUCCGCACGAACUUGAACUGCAGCAAAAGCAAGAAAAAAAAAGAACGGAUCUAAUUUGACUGGAAAUUCAACCUGGCGAGACACAAUUGAAGGCUCUCGAUCGGAAUUUGUUAGUUAUACUUCGGAUCGACGAGUUAGCACACCGUCAACUCUUGUGGUAAUAAUUAUAAACAAAUAAUAAUUUCGCGUUGAUUAUUAGAUGAUUAAAAGAGAGCAGUAGAAACGUUUGAACGCACCGCAGAAGUAAUUCAUACGAAUUCACGAAUCGACAGAAAUUUAAACACACACAAAGAUCGAUACUCAAAACGGACGUCGUGCCGACAUCAUUAUGCUCGAUUCUAAUUCGUGAUGCUCGUUAUUACACUUUACAUUGAGCAAAACAGUACACGCGGAGUCCUUUUUGGUCCAAUGCAAGUUCGAAAUUAACGACUGAACAUCAAAUUUAAGAAAUAAACUUUCGCCAGAUCGAAAGCACAUAACGAUAAUUCUCUUCAAGCACAUGCGGCUCUGCAGCGGCAUAAACAAGCUUCUCGAUACGAAAUCACGAUCCACGAGCAAAACACCGCUGCAUGAACACAAAAAGACAUUAGAGACAAAACGCCGGGAGGCAAAAAUAACUCAAGUGAAACGAAAAUCUCUUAUUACUUACUUACUCGAGACAAACUUUCUCGAAUACGAUUUUAUGCUAAACUGUUCAAGGCUACAAAUUAGACGUCAAUCGUACGAAGAUUCUAAAUCCAUACGAAGAACAGAAAUUAUCAAAAGUAUCAUGCUGGAUGACUCGGAUUAUGAAUCUCAGGACAAAAAUCACUAUUGCGGAUUUAUCCGACUGUGCAAGAAUCCUCAACGAGCUGAAACAGAAAAGCUUCAUCUAACCGACAGUAAACAAUGUAAUUGUUAUUAUUGAUUUUUUCCUUAUUUAGCAAAAGAAGAACUCUACGACGAAAUGAAGAAUUAAGAACGGCGAGUGACAGGUCUUUUCCCUCAAAUCUGUCGAAAACACAUUAUCUUCCGAAGAUAUCACGGACCAGACACGUGGAGAUAAAGCACCAAAUCAUCGCGAAACAACGCUUAGCUGAGUCGCCGAAUCACGGACAACGGACGUCGUGGGACUAUUAUCAAAAAGUAAUAUAUUUUCUUCUAAUUAUUUUUCUAGAUUUUUAAGUUUUUAGAAAAAUCGAUCGACUUUAUCGAUAGUAUUAACUAAAAAAGAAAAAAAAUAAAAAAAGACGUGAGUGAUUUAUAACAUUAUUGAGGAGAUAAAGUUGAUUAUUGCGAUUAUCUCAUUUUUGGCACUUAACAUACGACCGUUAUUAAACUAAACGUAGUCAAGAUAUUUGAUACGAAUCUUAUAUUGUAUUGUAGAUUUAAUUUUCUUAUUAUUUAUUUUACUCAUUUUCUUUUUUCGUUAGUUUUAUUUCUUUUCGGUUUUAUUUUAUUGGUCUGCGUGAGAUUAUCGUCAAUAUUAAGAUGUGAAGUGGUUUGUUUGCGUAUACGCUCUAAACCAUAUACAUGUGAAUCAUAUCCGCAUUUAUAUUUUUAUCGCAUUAUUAUUAUGACUACAAUGUUUAAACAUCUUGAAAUUCUGUCAUUUUUAUAAUUAGAAAAUAUUUCCGGCAGAAAACAUCGUACUUUAUAAAACACAUAAUAUAGUAUUAGUAGUUAUCAAUAUCUGUUUGACAGUUAUCAAUAUUUGUUUACAGAUUAUUGACUAUUAAUCAUGUGAUUUUAUAUUAUAGAGAGAAUCUUCUCAAUUUUAUGUUCAGUAAUUAUAAAAUUCUGGAAUGUUUUUAAGUGUAGAUUUUUGUUCGUCUGCGCUUUAUAAUUAUUAUUACGUCACUUACAUUACGUCACUAUAUGUAUACUAUAUUUUAUUCAAAUACUAUAUUUUGUUAAAGGAUUAUCAUUUGCAUAUCAAUAAUUUCAUGACCGACCAAGUAUUAAUUUUGAUUUUAAUUUUGUUUUUUAUUUUUUUAUAUUUGUUUAAACUUUUUAGUUCCUUUUUUACCAAAUAAAAAGAAUAGAAUGUGAAAAUAAAAAAAAAAAGAAAAAAGAAAACAUGUUGAUAUAAAGUAUGAUACGUUCUACAAAACAAGUAAUAUGCAUCUAAAAUAAUCCCAUAUAAUCUGUCAAACUGAUAACGUAAUAUUUGAGACAUAUCAGUGAUACGAUGCAACUUUCUGUUCGAUUGUUCCCAACUGUGCGGAGAUGCUGGGAGGAUUACAAGGAGUUUGUCUCACAAAAUUGUGUUUGAUUAAAAAUUAAUAUAUAUAUUGAAAAAUAUAAUCACAUCAUUUUUGCGAGACCAACCAUUCCUCUCGGGAUCUGCGUAUUUCAUUUUAUCGAAUUAUCACUAAAAUUAUCUCGUUUUUGGUUACAUAGCAUUAAUAUAAUUACAUAGAAAUAUAUUCUGUGUAUGAAUUGAACACAAACUCGUCUGAGAAAUUUGUUUAUUUGCUAAUUGAGUUUUUACUGCAUUAUAGAUGUCUAUCGUAGAACGUGGAUUGUAUGAUGUGUAUACGUGACAUCAUAAAUGCCUUCACUGUGAGACUUAAGUAACAUAUUUGUUAGAAAUAUUGAAGAUAAUCCACUUAGCUGAGAAAUUGUUCUGCUUGUUAGUAAGUAAUAUUUAUACGAAACCAUAAAAACGAUACUUGGCUUGAUAAGAUAUUUAUUAAUAUUUUAAUAUAUUAAGAGAGAUAUGAAACAUAUUUUUAAAAAAUACACAACAGUAUAUCAAAAAUUGCAACAAUAUGUAAUCUUCCUGUUAUUACUUUGUUUACUUUGUUUUCUUAUUUCCAACAAGAAAAGAAGACUCUCAAUUUAUAGACUUUAGUGCAAAUCGAUUCUUUUUUUGAUGACAAUACCGUGUGAUACAGUUUAAAUAGUUUAAAGAAGGACAUUUCGACUUGAACAAUACUCCAGUAUCUCUUACAAGUGUGAAACUGAUGAAUUUGUAAAGUCACUCGACGAUAAUCAAACGCAAAUACAAAAACAAGUAGCACAAUUCAGAAUUUGCAGUAAAUCGUCUCCAAGCGAUUGCACGAGACGACAACAAGGAUAAAAGAAGCCAUUUUCUGGAAAAUCCUAAGAAAUUAUGAGAAAUAGAUCUAUUACGAUAAUCUUAAGAGUAAGCAGUGGAUUAUCUUUAACUAUUCAUGACUAUAUGUCAUACUUGUGUCAAAUAAACGAACUUGUGCUGGCGUUUAUGAUGUCGUAUGUGAGUAGCAGUUAAUGUUACAACUAUAUUAUAGACAUUUUGCACUUAGUAUUUUAAAAAUUUUUAUGUUGAUAUAUUCGACAAGAUACAUUUGGCAAAGAAGAGAAUAUUUCAGUGAAUGAAUACGUACAACUAAUAAGAAUGAGUGACGAACUUUAUAAGAUUUAUCACGAAAUUGAUAUCAAUUGUAAAUUUUGGCUUUCCCAAUUUAUAGAGAGAUUGUGCUGUUUUUAUUUUUUACAUAAAAUGUUACAAUUAUUAUUCGUACGUGCUCUUUGUUUUUUUCGUACAUGGCAGAUUAUCUGUUAAUAUAUCCAUUGUCAAACUUUACAUUGCUGUAUAAAAUUUAUCAAGUUAACCGAUUAUUAUUAAUUUAUAGCUUAUAUCUUUAUUCUAUAAGAGAGAACAUAUAUUAUGGAAACAUUAGAGGAACAGGUAAUAAUAUGCAGGAAAUAAUUAAUUAGUAUAAGUAAAAUUAUAUAUAUAUAUAUAUAUAUAUAUAUAUAUAUAUAUAUAUAUACUGAUUCGUAAGCACUUACUUUUAUCCUCAAGCAUAGUAAGCGAAACAAUGUAUACGACGUACGACAUAAGCAACAUGAAUUAUUUAUUUCGCAAAAUUAUCCACUUUUAAGUAUCAUGAUUAAAAAUAUCUAGGGUAGACAAAUAUAUAACUUCGUAGUAAGAAAAUCAUUUAUAUAUUAAUUAUCUAAAUGUCUAACUUUUAUUAUUCAAUUGUGUGAGAAUUCGAUAUCGAUAUUUCUCUUCGGUACCACGUAAUAUAGAUGAUUUGUACUUUGCCCGUUAUAACGAUAAUAUUAAGCUGUCUAAAAUACAAUACAAUUCGAACGGAAGUGUUUUAGAUACAUCUCGAAAAAAGAGGCACCUUACGCGUAAAGUAUCCCGCAAAUACUUUAAUUCAGAAAUAAUAUAAACGUAUUAUGCUGCUUUUGAAUGCUUCUCAAAUGUUGCUUAUCUGCUCGGAAUGUUACUGUUUUUGUUGUUCAUGUUUGUGUCGAAUUUUAAGCUCCUGAUCAUUCACUUGGAUGGACGCGUCGCUAGAUUAUUCCGUUAUUCACGUUAAAUUUCUGUUUGGCAUGUUAUCGAUCUGGAUUUCCGUUGCUGUUACGCUAUCGAACGUUAUGUAGAAGUGAUUGUUACAUUUCGUUUCCUUUAACACCUGUUUGAACCUGUUUGAACCUGUUACGUUAUCUUAUCGCAUGUUCCCUGUUGCCGAAACUUUGGAUGUUCCAGUUGGACUGAAAGUUAUGUUUAAAGCUGUUAAAUCCUUGUUGAUUGUACUGUUAAUACUUUGUUUAUGUUAUAGAUCAUCAUCAAUCACCUACAAAACUGUUGUCAAACAUCCUGUAUUCGACAGUCCAUCCCACUCGAAUCCACAAAAGCAUCCAAUGUUUAUUCCAUUUGCUAUAAUGAAUUUUAAACAAUUGCUCCUCUCUCUCUCACUCAUUCUAUCUUUCACACUAUCUUUCUUUGAUCUUGUAUGUAAAUUCUAUUAUGACUUACUCUACGUUACAUUCGUUGAAUUUAAGCACCUUUAAUUUCUUAAACUCACUGCACGAAAAUAUCUCAUGUUGGAAGUUAUUGAGGAAAUUCAAGAUUCUUAUCAGAGAAAAUAGUAAGAAAAUUGAUUUAUUUCCAUAUAUUAUAUGAAUGUAAUAUUUCAACAGAAAAUUACCUCUUGUGUUGUAUCAUGUACGUUAUUUAAAUUUUGAGCUUCUCUCUGAAAAGCGUAAAUAUUAUCUAAAUGUGAAUUAAAAUUUGCACAUUAUUUUUUUAAUUUAUGUACUUUGCACAUAUUCUGAUUAUAAAAUAUGUGUGCGAUUUUAAUGUAUAAAUUUCUCAUUUGAGAAAAAGAGCUUUAAAUAAAAGUUAUUUAGUUCCAAUGAACUUCUAAUCUGGAGUCGUUCAAGAUUUAAUGUCAGAACAAGGUCAUAAUUCCAUACCCUCUUGAAACUAAAUAACUUAUCUGAAACUUUUUUUCUAAAAUGAGAAAGUGACUGAAAUAGUUGAGGUAAUACAUUGAAAUGGUCCAUCUCUAUAUAUCUUACAGCUAUAGUUAUUGUUUUAAAAAAAUCAUGAAGUUGAAAUGUGUCCUGUAUUUUACGUUAAAUUCUUUCGGCAGUUGAAGUUACUAGUUUGUCUGCCUUAGACAUAUUAUAAUCGUUACUUACACGUUAUUAAUAUCACUUUUGUUUACCCCCAACCUUAUUUGUUCGCUCCUUAUUAUUAUUGCUAUUAUUAUUUCCUCUAUUGCUAUUUACUAUUAUAUUUUAUUACUACGUAUUGCAUUUUCAGAUUGUUUUAUCAUUGUUGACAAUGUGACGGCAGAGCGGUUAAUCAAAUCAAUUCCAAUUGGGCAAUUAAUAAUGUUUACGCUUAUUUCAUUUCUGGCAGAUGAAAUUUAUUUGUGUGACUUAUAUAUUUGAUAUAUAUUGUAAAUACAGUUCCUUUAGGCACGGUAGAAAAUACGUUCCAAAAAUAGCUGUAUGCUUGAAUUCCGAGUGAAAGUGUCUUGUAAAAAUAUCAAACUUAUCUCUCUGCGAAUGAGAUAUGUGUGCAUGUGUGUACGUGUGUGCGCGCGUAACUUGUGACAGAAAAUAAAAUUAAUGAUUAUAUAUCUGAACACACAGAGAUAUUAAAGGAGCUAAAAGCUUAGAUAUUUAAAUCACAUUCAAGAAUUCUAUAUUUGGAUGGUUAACAAGUCUUCUUAUUGUAAAUUAAAUAAUAAAAUUAUUAAAUUAAUUAAACGCAAAAACAUAUUACUAGUAAUAGUUUGUUAUUAUCUGUUUGCAAUAUUUUUCAAAAAAAAAAUUAGUUCCAGAGAAAAUUCAAGUAUAUCACUUAAAAUAAAUUAUUCUUUUUGCAUAAAAGUUUAUAACAUACAUUUUAUUGUCAGAAAUACUUGGCCAGCCAAAUUACUACGAUGCUUGUAUAAUUGUUAUUGUUAUUUGAUUUUGUUACAUCCUUGGUUGCUGUUAUGCAAAAUUAUGUUAUUGUUAUGUUACCGUUGUUACAUACCUCCUGAAAAUCCGUAUGGAAGAGUUGCCUGUUACCAAUGCCCGUGUUUCUGGUUCUUGUUCUUCAAGAAACUUUGUCGGAACUGUUUUUUUGUUAUUGUUUAAUUGGCACCAAAAGCAAGCAUAUAUACAUUCGCCCUUUAUCACCGAGUUAAAGAUUUUUACUGGCGAAAUACAAAUCGAUCGAUAGUCUAUAGAGGACGGUAAAGACUUAACAUGAUUUACGCUAGACAAAUAUAUAAUGCAUUUAUUGAACUUUGUUUUCAUUCCGGCAGAUUAUUUAAUAUAGAUUAUUUAUUUCAUUUUAAUUAAUAGCGUUAAAAUUACAAUUAAUUACAAUUACAACGUAAUUAAAGCUAUGUAAUUAUUAUUAGUUAAUUUGCGAAAUUUAUCGCAUUUUGGUUUCACCGCAGUGCCUUACCUGAUAGAUCUUAAUGUACGUAUAUGUUAAUAUACAUUAGAAUAUUAUUACUACUGCCAUAAAAUAAUAUGUUAAAAAUAAUCUAACAGUUAAGAAUAUGUAUUUUUUCGCAUGUGAGGAGUACACUAACGUGUGUUGUGCUAUCAUAACAUAUGUGUAAAAGAACAGACAGGGAAUAUGUAUAAGCAUUUUUAAUGAAUAAAUUCUGUUUAUAAUAUA